Molecule: ribosomal RNA, 452 nt
Filed under: uncultured bacterium
Lineage: Bacteria
Description: bacterial SSU rRNA
Rfam family: Bacterial small subunit ribosomal RNA
Source: RNAcentral
CGUGCAUAACACAUUCAAGUCGAACGGAACUUGAGGCUUCGGUCUUAAGUUUAGUGGCGGACGGGUGAGUAACGCGUGAGCAAUCUGCCUUUCAGAGGGGGAUAACGUUCUGAAAAGAACGCUAAUACCGCAUGAGACUACGGAGCUGCAUGGCUCAGUGGUCAAAGGAGCAAUCCGCUGAAAGAUGGACUCGCGUCCGAUUAGAUAGUUGGCGGGGUAAUGGCUCACCAAGCCGACGAUUGGUAGCCGGACUGAGAGGUUGAACGGCCACAUUGGGACUGAGACACGGCCCAGACUCCUACGGGAGGCAGCAGUGGGGAAUAUUGCACAAUGGGCGAAAGCCUGAUGCAGCAACGCCGCGUGAGGGAAGACGGCCUUCGGGUUGUAAACCUCUGUCCUCAGUGACGAAGAAAGUGACGGUAGCUGAGGAGGAAGCCACGGCUAACUACGUG